AUUCCAGCUCCAAUAGCGUAUAUUAAGGUUGUUGCGGUAAAAAAGCUCGUAGUUGGAUUUCUGUUGCGAAUGGCCGGUCUUCACUACGUGAAUGUAUCUGGUUCAAUCGUGGCAUCCUCAUAGGAAACGUUGCUGCGCUUCACUGCGUGGUGCGGUGCCUAUGACUUUUACUUUGAGGAAAUUAGAGUGUUCACGGCAGGCAAUCGCCCUGAAUAUGUUAGCAUGGAAUAAUAAUAUAGGAUCUUGGUUCUAUUUUGUUGGUUUCUAGAGCUAAGAUAAUGGUUAAUAGGAACAAUUGGGGCAUUUGUAUUAACAUGUCAGAGGUGGAAUUCUUGGAUUAUGUUACGACAAACUACUGCGAAAGCAUUUGCCAAGGAUGUUUUCAUUA
Molecule: ribosomal RNA, 388 nt
Filed under: Syndiniales sp.
Lineage: Eukaryota; Dinophyceae; Syndiniales
Description: partial small subunit ribosomal RNA
Rfam family: Eukaryotic small subunit ribosomal RNA
Source: RNAcentral